RNAcentral lists this ribosomal RNA (328 nucleotides) under Rhodomonas lens. Its description in RNAcentral is "partial Eukaryotic small subunit ribosomal RNA". It matches the Rfam family "Eukaryotic small subunit ribosomal RNA", at positions 613 to 943 of the family's 1831-position model. The record is from RNAcentral. Lineage: Eukaryota; Cryptophyceae; Pyrenomonadales; Pyrenomonadaceae.
UUGCAGUUAAAAAGCUCGUAGUCGAAUUCGGGCCCGGCCUGCGGAAUAGUCUUAAAAAGCUUUUAGCGUGUCGGGCCCAGUCUUGUCGCCACAAGGUCUGUUCUUAAUUGAACAGCCAGCGGGGCGACAUUUUUUACUGUGAAUAAAAUAGAGUGUUCAUGGCAGGCCUUUGGAAGGCUUAGAUACCUCAGCAUGGAAUAAUAGAAUAGGACUUCCGGUUCUAUUUUGUUGGUUUUUGGAGCCGAAGUAAUGAUUAAUAGGGAUAGUUGGGGGCACUCGUACUCCGUUGUCAGAGGUGAAAUUCUUGGGUUUACGAAAGAUAAACUUC